UACGAAGGGGGCUAGCGUUGUUCGGAAUUACUGGGCGUAAAGCGCACGUAGGCGGAUUGGCAAGUCAGGGGUGAAAUCCCGGGGCUCAACCUCGGAACUGCCUUUGAUACUGCCAGUCUAGAGUCCGGAAGAGGUGGGUGGAAUUCCUAGUGUAGAGGUGAAAUUCGCAGAUAUUAGGAAGAACACCAGUGGCGAAGGCGGCCCACUGGUCCGGAACUGACGCUGAGGUGCGAAAGCGUGGGGAGCAAACAGG
RNAcentral lists this ribosomal RNA (253 nucleotides) under uncultured bacterium. RNAcentral describes it as "partial 16S ribosomal RNA". It matches the Rfam family "Bacterial small subunit ribosomal RNA", at positions 524 to 776 of the family's 1533-position model. The record is from RNAcentral.